This is a long non-coding RNA of Dicentrarchus labrax (European seabass), 1578 nucleotides long. The record is from Ensembl. Lineage: Eukaryota; Metazoa; Chordata; Actinopteri; Moronidae.
AUGGCUGUGUCCCCAUCUGGAGGGAAGGGCAAUAACACAAAUGGCUCAGAAAAGGACACUAGGUCACCCUCUGCAGGCCAGGAUGAGAUAACACAGACAGCAACAGUUAAGGUUAAGACAGAGGGUAGUCAUGCUGGUAGUACAUUCAGUCAUGCCCAUGAACUCCCUGACAUUAUCCCUAAACAGGAAGGUGCUACCCCAAGAGAUGACCCAGGCCUUAAAGAUCAGGCCAAUUCAGUUCAGCGGCCAAAGGCCAAGGAACAUGAUUCUUCCAGGUCUAGGUCUCCCUCCCCUUCCAGGGGCCAAGACAUUAAGAGGUCUGGGUCAAGACAUAGUCCGUCACCUUCACCUAGUCCUAGUAGGCAGCAGUCUGAUGGUCAAACUGCAACAGCAGUGAAAGAACGGUCAAGAAGCCUCUCCAGGUCAGUCUCAAAGGGAGAACGUUCUAAAACUCCUCUAAAGAGCCGGCAGCUGUCCCGCUCUCUGUCCGGCUCUCAGUCCCCUAAAUCUAGGAGGAAGUCACUCUCCCCGUCCCCAAAGUCAAAGUCACCCAAAAGAGCUAGCUGUCGGUCCCGGUCCACCUCUCGCUCCCCAACCCCCAAGAAGAAGGCGCCAAAGGCGUCAAAGAAGUCCAAGUCUCCUAAACGUCGGAGGACUUCAUUGUCUGUUUCCCCAAAGCGACGCAGAAGCUCCCACUCACCUAAAAGAAAGGUGUCACGAUCCCCUAAACGUGGUGGGCGCAGGUCCCCCUCUCUAUCUCGGUCUCCAAGGAGAAGUCGAAGGUCAGAGUCACGGCCCCGUGGAGGCAAUAGGCGUUCCAGGACCCGCUCACCUAGACGAGGUGGUGCAGUUGGCAGGCGUUCACGAUCACGUUCCAUUAAUAGAACCCGUCGCUCCCACUCUAGAUCAAGACGCCCUGUUCAUCGCUCCAGGUCGCGGUCACUGGGAAGGCGCACAGGAGGCAGGCGCUCCAGGAGUCGAUCUGUGUCUAGACGUAGGAGGUCACCACCCCCAAGAUCCCGCCGCUCACGAUCCCGGUCUGUCCGCAGGAGCAGGCGAACUCGAUCACGUUCCGUUGUAGUCCUUAAGCGCAACCGUCGCUCCAGAUCUAAGAGUCCCCGCAAAAGGACCAAAUCCAGGACCCCUCCUUCCCGACGAAAGUCUACAUCCCGAUCACCUAUCAGAAAGCGCUCUCGAUCCCCUGCCAGGAGAAAUCGCUCUCCACCAAGAUCUAGCAAACGCUCCAAAUCCCGCUCCUUGUCUCGGAGGCAUUGGUCAAAGUCACGCUCACCACCACCUGGCAAGAGGAGGUCCAAAUCUCCUAGGAAGGGUGGCAGAAGGUCAAAGUCUAAAUCUGACUCUGCAGUUUUGAAUAAAUCUAAGUCCAGUUCCAGGUCUGAGUCAAGUGAUGGGGAGUCUGAGAGCUCCUCCCCAGCCAGAUCCACAUCUUCCUCUCCUGUUAAAGAAAAGAAGCCAUCCUCUCCUAAGGUAGAGCAGACAGCUGGUGGGAAGGCAACAAGCGAAAGUGGAGAUGUUCCAGCUACAACAGGUCAGACCUUUUCCAUGGCUAUGUUUUGA